UGAGAAUCAGGCUCGUGAAUCUCAAAA
This 27-nucleotide non-coding RNA is filed under the name Rattus norvegicus (Norway rat). Lineage: Eukaryota; Metazoa; Chordata; Mammalia; Rodentia; Muridae. The record is from RNAcentral.